AGCUUUUUUAAAUGGUUUGGUUAUGCAGCGGAGGACACAAUGGGGUUUGAUCAGGAUUUGGUUGGUGAUCUGAUCAAGGGGGACUUAUGGGUUAAUCCCAUUGAACAUCUUAACCAUGUAACGCUUGCACUAUUUCUCUUUUAUUUCUAUCUCUCUCUCUAAUAUGAUUUUAUUAUUGGUUUUUCUAACUACCUUGUUAUCUCGUUAUUUAGGAAGAUGAAGCGUAAAGGGGGAUGACGAAGAUGAUGACUGAGUUUCUUUGGAUACCCUUUAGGAUUAUGUUUUUAAAUCGAACAAAGAGUAACUUUAAGACUUCUUAAACCUAUUUCGUUUGAAUCUUUCUGUUUUACUGUCUGCUAUUGGCAUUGUUUUAUAUUUCAUGUUUUAUCU
Molecule: non-coding RNA, 390 nt
Organism: Erythranthe guttata (spotted monkey flower)
Lineage: Eukaryota; Viridiplantae; Streptophyta; Magnoliopsida; Lamiales; Phrymaceae
Source: RefSeq, a predicted model, not a curated record